UAAAAAAGAACCAUUGAGUCUAUUGGAAAAGGUAUAGACAAACAAUAGAUUCUUAUGUUAACCAUGCUUUCUAUUGUGAAUGCGUUGUAGAGAACGUUCUAAAAUUUGACGCUUCACAAUAAAUAAACAUUAGAUUUCAAUGUUACAGUAUUUUCUAUUGCCAUACCAUAGAUUAACAUUAGAUUCAAUUGUUUCAGUACGAAAAUGGGUGAAGAGUACAAUUUUUAGUGUAACUUUUUUUAAGCGUGUAUUUGUUUUGUUGGUGUGGCUUUUUCGGAUGCCGGCUGUCCGCCGCGUGUGUUUUUUCAGUGAAGUUUGCUUCCGAGCGUUUGUGUGCCGUUCUUCCAGGCAAAUCUGCUCCACCGAUGCAGCCGGAUAGGUCCGACGGUGAACGAGAUUGCGGGGCUAUUCACGACAUGGCCGGAGACGAUGACGGAUCAGCGCUGGAUCGUAUGGUCGCCUCGCAGAUUCAGAAGGACAUGGUUGGUUGGCGACGAACAACACCAGAUGUUCGAGCCCAGUGGUGUGGGACGAAAGGCAGCGGCUGUAAUGUCAAAUAUUUCGGGGGAAACACGACGGAACACUUCGCGACGGGAGGAUCACUCUGGCUGAAGGUGAUUUGGCAAGGGCCAACUUUUCUAGGGUGGUGAGAACCAGAACACGAACGGCAACGCUUACAAAGCUAUUCAUUCCUCUGCUCUGAAUCCGAAGGCGAAUCUCAGCCGUUUCGCGCAGGUAAAUUUCAUCAGCCGUAGGCGUAGAAACAUCUUUAGUGAAAUCUACGGGGGCAAUAUUUUUAAAAACAAAAAUUUGAAUAAAAGGUAUGUAUAAACUUUGGAGCAACCCAUGCUGGGCACUAGCUUCUUUGACUGGGAUAAUGGGGUAUUAACUAUGAAAUUCAUAGAUUCUAUUAUCUACCUAACAACUAUUUCAAUUAUAAUUUUGUCGUUUCAAUUUUGUGAUGCAAAACAACUUUUGCGUGUAGAAUAUUUGAAUUUGAACCAUUAAAAAAAUUAUGGGAGGAUCGUUCAGAAAAAAUACCCUUGUUUCUAAAAAUUAAGCAGUUACAGCAAAAGUUUGUUCGGCAGUUAUUCUUGUAAUGACCCAUUUAUUUAUUUAGUUCAACAUCUAAUUCAUCAUAACAUUGGAUGCACAAUUUGCCGCCAUAACACUCGAUUUGCAGCUGUAGCUCUCCAACGUCGAUCACACCCAACGCUCUCCAGAUCAAUAGUUUACUAAAAAUCGUAUUGUGCUUCUAAAUUCUUACAAAAACACUGCUAAACUUUCAAGGUAUCUUGUUUUAUUUAUGACAACCGCUUUUUAAAUUUUUACUUAAAGAAAUUUAAGUAUAAUCUUUUGCAUUUGGAUGCAUUGAGGGGUCUUCAAAUGUAGGUUCACUCUUUAAGUUUGGAGCGCUUGAAUACGUUUGCGUCAAAUUUAAUAGCCUUCUCAUGCGGCAACUAUCAAAUUUGACACAAUCGUAUGCUUGUUCUCCGUGCUGUAGUCCGUCGAGUGUCUUGUUACAAUAAUGGUUAAGCACGCUGUAAUGUUACUUUUGUACCUCAUCACCCACUAAAUGCAACUACAUUAGUGGACUAAUAACACUUAGCGCGCUUCGGCACGGUUCCAUCAUGCCGCUCAUAGUGUUGCCACAUAUAAUGCUUAGUUUGUUAAACCCAGUUAUCUGGCUGGUGGGGCAUGGGAGCCUAAGCUUCGACCAUUAAUGCAAUCAGACGUUAUUUGAACUAUGACAUGAGCGAUCCGAAUAUUUGAAGAACUUUUCAAACUAUAUAGAAGCUUGUGUAUGUCAACAUAGAACGAACUAAAUCUUUGCAAUAUUUUGCAUUUUAACGCUUCGAACGAUCUUCAAGUAUAGGUUCAAGUUGUAGUAUAUCGAGUAUUUUAAGUGCUACAAUAAUGGUUAAGCACGCUGUAAUGUUACGUUUGUACCUCAUCACCCAAUAAAUGCAACUACAUUAGUGGACUAAUAACACUUAGCGCGCUUCGGCACGGUUCCAUCAUGCCGCUUAUAGUGUUGCCACAUAUAAUGCUUAGUCUGCUGAACCCAGUUAUCUGGCUGUGGGGUAUGGGAGCUCAAGCUUCAACCAUUAAUGCAAUUAAACAUUACUCGAUUUACGACAUGAUUGAUCCAAAUAUUAAAUAAUUGUUCGAUCUGUGUUCUUAAAAUGUAGCCCUGAAUGUAGCAUAAAAUAUACAAGCUUCUAGUCCAAAUGUAUAAAAAUAGUUCAGAUUCACUGUUUUUCAGAUUGUUUUCAAGCAAUCAGUAACAAAAAUAAAAAGCAGAAAUAGAUCAAACCAUUCCAAAAUGUUCAUAUUCGUUUGUAAAACAAAACUAUUCCAAAACAUUAGAAUUUUCUGUUUCACAGUAGAAAACAAUUCCCAAACCAUUGGAUAGGGCAAAACAGUAUGUUCACAAUUGAAAGCAAUUCCAAAACAAUAGAAUCUAAUGUGUAAUUAAGUCACUGCUUAAAUAACAAUAUGAAAACAUAAGAAUCAUCUGUAUCACAUUAGAAAACAAUUCCCAAACCAUUGAAUCAAUUGUUGAACCAGUAAUAAAAUUACUACUCAAAACAAUA
Long non-coding RNA from Aedes albopictus (Asian tiger mosquito), 2597 nucleotides. RefSeq lists it as uncharacterized. NCBI's taxonomy places the organism in Eukaryota, Metazoa, Arthropoda, Insecta, Diptera, Culicidae. The record is from RefSeq and is a predicted model, not a curated record. The transcript has 2 exons.